GGGGUAAGUCACAUACUCUCAAAAAUAUAGGCUUUUACCUUCUACUUGUUUGACUUAAAAGAAAGAUAAGUAAAUGUUAUUUCGUGUAGUCACACCAAUUUAAGUGGAAUGCAGUGAACACAUGAACUACUUGAAUACAGCGACACCACAGACUAGCGGACCUCAAGUGACGACAGACUGCACGAGUUGUGAAAUUCCACGAGAGCCUCGCAACUGGCGGGUCUUUCACGAUGGAGGAGAUGUCGGAGGAGAUGCUGUGCAGGGAGGAGCCGGUAGAAAGUGAAGAAAACGAGAUCGAGGAGGAAGUUAUUCCGAUCGAGGAAGCCCUGAGCGCUUGGAGCACCGUCCGGAAGUUCUUACAACAGAGAAGCAGGAAGCCCACUGUGAUGCAAGCGUGUCAUCGACUAGACAACGAGAUGUACGAGAUCCUCCGCAAGACCAGGCGCCAGCCGACGAUUCUUAAGAGCUUUGGACUGACAGGUCUGCAUCUCUCUCAGCUCGCGGCGGCGCGCCUGUAUCGGAGAGGUAGCUCACAGCAGACGACAGUUAACGUGUGUUUUCAGGCUAUUUUUGUCCGGUUCGCGGGAAAAGGUCAAGGCCUUCGCCCGUUGUCUAUAGCAGCACCUGACGUCACAGUCUUACUACGUCUUUAGAGAGCUGCUCGAGGGCUGGUCGCUGCUGGUGAGAAAUUUGUUACCAAGGCGAUGAGUAGAGCGGAGAGUUUUUUGUUUUUGAGAAGACGGCUGGAGUCUGUGCUGUGAGGCAAGGUGCCGGUUGUAUGCUCUGCCACGACUGACCCAAGCUUGUGGGCACUGAGAGGCUGGUUGUACUAGCGAGUUGAUGCCAGCAGUGACCACCGGGACUUGUGGAAAGUGCGGAGGCUGGCGGAAUGACAGCAUUGGGCUGUGACAUCCAGUGUCUACGGGAGUGUGCUUCCGGUUCUUCUCGGGGUGACCGUCGGUCAUUAGCAUAAGCCGUGUGGGUGAGUGCAGAUUUUCCCCAUUGUUAUGUUUGUUUUUGGAUGAGAGGCUGCACACGCCUGAGCAUUAGGAUACGCGAGUAUGUGUUUGCUCCUUCUGAGUUGAUUUUUGUAAGUGUGUAAUUUAGGGCUAUUUCGUGUCUUGGUUUAAGGGGGUCAUGGAGGGGGAUGUUUGGUUAUUUCUUCCUGUAGCCUUUUAGUGACCGUUGUUCUUUUAUUUAUUUCAGGCUUUUUACUGUGUACUAAGCGCCUCAAGCCCCUGUUCUGUGUUAAGAAUUAAAGACUCAGGGGAAACUACGUUUAACUGACU
Long non-coding RNA from Pomacea canaliculata, 1289 nucleotides. RefSeq lists it as uncharacterized. NCBI's taxonomy places the organism in Eukaryota, Metazoa, Mollusca, Gastropoda, Architaenioglossa, Ampullariidae. The transcript has 3 exons. The record is from RefSeq and is a predicted model, not a curated record.